UGGCCACAGGUGUGAUGGCCGAUGCCAAACGGUCUUCUAAAAAAAGAAAGUAGGAAGGAGUGAGAAAGUCACGCCCUCGGCCUCUCCAACUCCUCUCACCAGUCUCUUUCUGCUCUUUGUAGAUGCACCUGCUCAGGUGAGACCUUAGGGAAAAAUAAUUCUGUGGGCCCACCUACGCUGAGAACCAGUUCUUGGGGUGAACCCGUGACAACAUCCAGUAAUGUUAUAACAGCAAUCACUGACUGACCUGAAUUUGCCUAAGCUUUUGGCAAGCCAAGUUUGUCCUAUAUAUUGUCAUUACCUUGGACUGUGAGUGAAUUCUCAGAACUUCCAUUAAUUUGUACAUGACAUGGAAUUAUUGCAUGUAUUGUCACAGUAAUGAAGUCAAUAAACAGUAACCUGAAAAGA
Long non-coding RNA from Phyllostomus discolor (pale spear-nosed bat), 408 nucleotides. RefSeq lists it as uncharacterized. Lineage: Eukaryota; Metazoa; Chordata; Mammalia; Chiroptera; Phyllostomidae. The record is from RefSeq and is a predicted model, not a curated record. The transcript has 3 exons.